GGGCACGUAGCUCAGUUGGAUAGAGCGACGGACUUCUAAUCCGUAGGUCGGGGGUUCGAAUCCUCCCGUGCUCACCA
This 77-nucleotide transfer RNA is filed under the name Paracoccaceae bacterium. RNAcentral's name for it is "tRNA-Arg". It matches the Rfam family "tRNA". From Rfam's summary of the family: Transfer RNA (tRNA) molecules are approximately 80 nucleotides in length. Their secondary structure includes four short double-helical elements and three loops (D, anti-codon, and T loops). Lineage: Bacteria; Pseudomonadati; Pseudomonadota; Alphaproteobacteria; Rhodobacterales; Paracoccaceae. The record is from RNAcentral. RNAcentral also lists the same sequence under 2 other names.